This 72-nucleotide transfer RNA is filed under the name Apaloderma vittatum (bar-tailed trogon). It matches the Rfam family "tRNA". Rfam says of the family: Transfer RNA (tRNA) molecules are approximately 80 nucleotides in length. The record is from Rfam by way of RNAcentral. Lineage: Eukaryota; Metazoa; Chordata; Aves; Trogoniformes; Trogonidae.
GGCCGGUUAGCUCAGUCAGUUAAGCGUGGUGCUAACAACGCUAAGGUUGCGGGUUCGAUUCCCGUUCGGUCC